GAUGAACGCUAGCGGGAGGCCUAACACAUGCAAGCCGAGCGGUAGAGUUUCUUCGGAAACUUGAGAGCGGCGCACGGGUGCGUAACACGUGUGCAACCUACCUUUAUCUGGGGGAUAGCCUUUCGAAAGGAAGAUUAAUACCCCAUAAUAUAAUGAUUGGCAUCAAUUAUUAUUGAAAACUCCGGUGGAUAGAGAUGGGCACGCGCAAGAUUAGAUAGUUGGUGAGGUAACGGCUCACCAAGUCAAUGAUCUUUAGGGGUCCUGAGAGGGAGAUCCCCCACACUGGUACUGAGACACGGACCAGACUGCUACGGGAGGCAGCAGUGAGGAAGAUUGGACAAUGGGUGAGAGCCUGAUCCAGCCAUCCCGCGUGAAGGAUGACGGCCCUAUGGAUUGUAAACUUCUUUUGGACAGGGAUAAACCUACCCUCGGGAGGGUAGCUGAAGGUACUGGACGAAUAAGCACCGGCUAACUCCGUG
This 479-nucleotide ribosomal RNA is filed under the name uncultured bacterium. Its description in RNAcentral is "partial 16S ribosomal RNA". It matches the Rfam family "Bacterial small subunit ribosomal RNA", at positions 28 to 507 of the family's 1533-position model. The record is from RNAcentral.